GGAUUGAACGCCGGCGGCAGGCCUAACACAUGCAAGUCGAGCGGUAGGGAGGUGCUUGCACCUCUUGAGAGCGGCGGACGGGUGAGUAAUGCCUAGGAAUCUGCCUAGUGGUGGGGGAUAACGUUCGGAAACGGACGCUAAUACCGCAUACGUCCUACGGGAGAAAGCGGGGGACCUUCGGGCCUCGCGCCAUUAGAUGAGCCUAGGUCGGAUUAGCUAGUUGGUGAGGUAAUGGCUCACCAAGGCGACGAUCCGUAACUGGUCUGAGAGGAUGAUCAGUCACACUGGAACUGAGACACGGUCCAGACUCCUACGGGAGGCAGCAGGUGGGGAAUAUUGGACAAUGGGACGAAAGCCUGAUCCAGCCAUGCCGCGUGUGUGAAGAGGUCUUCGGAUUGUAAAGCACUUUUAAGUUGGAGGUAAGGUUGUAACUUAAGUACGUUGCUAAACUUUGAACGUUUACCGA
RNAcentral lists this ribosomal RNA (466 nucleotides) under uncultured soil bacterium. RNAcentral's name for it is "bacterial SSU rRNA". It matches the Rfam family "Bacterial small subunit ribosomal RNA", at positions 27 to 496 of the family's 1533-position model. The record is from RNAcentral.